Molecule: long non-coding RNA, 1123 nt
Organism: Cicer arietinum (chickpea)
Lineage: Eukaryota; Viridiplantae; Streptophyta; Magnoliopsida; Fabales; Fabaceae
Source: RefSeq, a predicted model, not a curated record
CUCCCACCCCACGUAGGUUAUAAGAAAGAAUGUUCAUCUUAGCCUCCUUUUCCCCUUCAUCAGACAAUCAAUCACUUCCAUCUUAGGAAUCUUUGUGUCAUAUACCUUAUCCACCUUAGAACCUUAUAUCCCCACGAGCCUUCCAAAGUGUACAUUGAAUAUUCCAUAUUCCAGAUUCACCCACUAAAGCACCUCAAAACACAAACCCUCCAGAUAAUUUUGCAUUAUAUCCAUCAUACAAAUUCAAAAACUUGCAACAACAAAAUGAUUAUUUUCAAAUAAAAUGGAGCGAUUGUGUUACCCACUAGGUCGGCUUGGUUGUGAGUCGAACUGUCUAUUUCAUUAAAAAAAAUCUAAUGCUGCAUUUUGCAUCCCCUCCCGUUCAUCCGAAUCCACUAAUACAAGUUGGAGCUUCGCAUCACCGAGACAUUCUAGACUCACCAAUCACGUAUUUUUGGAUAUGACUCUUCAACUACCAACACAAGAUUUAGUGGCGAAAGACUUGCAUGAAAAUGAGUGGAAUUUUCGACAUAUAUUUCUCAACAAAGACAUCCUUUAAGUCAUCAUGGUAAUAGUAGUGAAGGAAACGAAGGUUCUUUGGGUAUUGGGAAAGAGCAGAAAAUUUAUGAACUUCAGCAGAAGAUUUGUUGGCAAAGACAAGAGGUGAAGGAUCUUAAAGACAGGUCUUUAUGGAGCAGAAGUUUUGAUGGUGUUGUUUUAUUGCUUGUGAGGUUUUGUUUCACUGUUUUAGCAAGGAUAAAGGUUGUUUUUGGGAUUGGUCAUUCUGUGCCUUGUUUGUCUCCUAGUUUGUCAACUUCUGCAACAGUUUAUCCCUCUGAUCAGAAUCCAACUUCUUGUCAUGAAUUCAUUUUUAGGUCAUUGGAAAGGUUUGAGCUUGAAGAGAUCAAGGAAGGUUUAGGAAGUGGGUUUUUUUAGUCUAACUCUAAGCUUUUGAAACCACCUCCUAGUACUUUAGGUGAUGUUGCCUUGGCUUUACACUAUGCAAACUUGAUCUUGUUUAAUUCAAUUGUCUUUGGAAACUAUAUACAAUAGUGUUAAAUUACCAAAGGUGAAUGCAACCAUAACAUAGUAUGCCAGAUAAGUAAUUUUCGCUGAUAUCGAA